UACGAAGGGGGCUAGCGUUGUUCGGAAUUACUGGGCGUAAAGCGCACGUAGGCGGAUUGUUAAGUGAGGGGUGAAAUCCCAGGGCUCAACCCUGGGACUGCCUUUCAUACUGGCAAUCUCGAGUCCGAGAGAGGUGAGUGGAAUUCCGAGUGUAGAGGUGAAAUUCGUAGAUAUUCGGAGGAACACCAGUGGCGAAGGCGGCUCACUGGCUCGGUACUGACGCUGAGGUGCGAAAGCGUGGGGAGCAAACAGG
RNAcentral lists this ribosomal RNA (253 nucleotides) under uncultured bacterium. RNAcentral's name for it is "partial 16S ribosomal RNA". It matches the Rfam family "Bacterial small subunit ribosomal RNA", at positions 524 to 776 of the family's 1533-position model. The record is from RNAcentral.